Molecule: long non-coding RNA, 5597 nt
Filed under: Gallus gallus (chicken)
Lineage: Eukaryota; Metazoa; Chordata; Aves; Galliformes; Phasianidae
Description: lncRNA (ENSGALG00010011387.1)
Source: RNAcentral
GUACCGUCGCAUCGCGCGCACCGCGCCUCGCGCCCCAGCCGGGAUGCUCCGGGCCCGCGGAACCGUUUGUAGCCGCGGCCCGCCCGCCGGGCCGAGCUGACCAAUCGUGUCGCAGAGCGGGAAAGGCGGCGCCCUAUGACUGCAGCAGGGAGAACCCGUGCCCGUCCGCUGCGGAGCUGCCUGACGUGGGCGUGGAGAGCGAGAGGGGUGUUGCGUCUGAGAGAAGUUCUGCUCAGAAAGAAAAGGAAUUCGGUGGGCCAGAUUCCCUCUGUGGCCAGAUCCGUUCACUACAGCUGCCUGGGGAGGAAUUUAGGUGAAGGGUUAUCGUCAAGAGGAAAAUCGAACUUAGAAGGGAGGAGGUCACCAUUUUUGCAGGUACCAAUCCAAAUUUUGCUCAGAUUUCACCUAGAGAUUUUACUUAAAUAUUUCUGGAAAAGCACUUGUUUUAACAAAUACUGAUUGCUACUCAUGCAUUUAAUGCAAGUGGCGUAAGUUUUAGCACCGAUGUAGAGCCAUUUCUGUUUUAUGGGUCUUCACAAAUUAAACUUGAUGACAAUCUAAUUCAUAUUACACCAAUUUCAGAGGUGCAGAAGGGAACAGAAGCUAUAUCCUGCCCCAUGCUACAACGUUCGGGUAUUCUAAUCGAGCAUCUGUGGCUGUCUCCCACACUAUCAAGCUCCUUAGAUACUGGACAUAUUUCCAUCAACCAAGAGACUGAGCAUAUCGUGCUCAAAAAGAGUACUCAACGGCAUGAAAAAGGGGAUUAAAAAGCAAAGAACCAAAACCAGCAUCUCUUUUCCAGAAGGGUGAAAAUAUGCCAAGCCCAGUUCUAACUACAGAAAUACUUUCCAGUAUUUUCUUUCUUUCCAGUUACUGCAGUUCUACAAAGAUGUUAUUUGGUGACAGAUGAAAAGGAAGGCAAUUUGGUGAACAAGAUACCUAUUCCAAAGAUCUCCUGAUUAAAAGAAAGGCUAAUAUCUUACUCCUCACACUCCUGACAUGACCGUAGGCUUGAAGAGUCUUGCAAUCUGUAUAUAAUUUGAAUGAAGGAAGUCCAGUUGAAAGACUACAUCUCUAAUUGUUAAUGAACGUUUCCAGCAACAGUUUCACAGCAACAAUAACAAAAAAAAAUUCUCUGCUUGGAAGAGGUUUUCUUCCAAAUGUGUUCUCUUAGCUUAAGUUGCUAUAACAGAGAUAGCACUAGGCAGAUAGCAACUGUAUGUGUUCUAUAAUAAGUAUACUUUUCAUAAGGCAUUUCAAGGCAAACAGAUUACUAACACAUUUUAAAAGUUAAACUAUGUAUAUCAAGGACCACACUAUUGCAGCAAGCUAUAUACAGUAAGGCACUGUCCAUGAAAUCAAAGAAAUAUUUCAUAUCACAUUAAUACACUGACAUUAUUGCCUGACCUAUAAAUACUGAUAAUAUUUUCAUUAUCAUCUAUGUUUAACCUUCUUUAUCCUUUCAAAUGCCCUUAUGCCCAAUACGUGAAAACAUGUGAUAGAGUUCCACAUAGUAAGUCCAGAAAUCACAUCAAGGAAGUUCUUUAUUGGUUUCUUUCAAUGACUUUCAGAUUAAAUCUGCUCAUUUUAUAAAUGCAGUAAAGGUUUUUGUUAAGUGUCUAGUCUAAAAACACAUGGUUGAAGUUAGUAGGUUUUUUCAAUCCAGCAACAAAGGACCCUGCAACUAGAACAAAGUUAAUAACUGCUGAUGACAUACAUGCUAGAAGAAAAAAAACAAAACAAAACAAAAAAAAACCCAGUGCCUCACUCCUUAGUAUCAGAAGAAGAAAAUCAUACUUUAGAACUGAAAGAAAAUUAUGGCGUACACAAAAAGAACAGGUUUGUAUAGAAAACUAUCAACCUUUCACCUACUCACCUUUCAGGCAUUUGCUUCAUCAAACUCCCAAGUAUCAGUGCAAGAAUGAGUAUAAUUACCAGAAUGCCAAGGUAAGAAACAGGCAGACUUUGUAAAUCUGUUCACAGUAGUGUUCCAGAUUGGUGCUAAAAUAAGAGUUAUGAGCUACGUUCAUUUUAAGUAAAUGUAAGAAUAUCUAUACUCAGCUCAGACCUUCUUUAGUCAUCAUCUAUUUGGGAAGAAUGGAAGGAAUUACUGCUUCCCUAGAAGAGAAUUCAUUUUUCUCAGUUACAGAAUGUGAAAGUGAACAAACUCUGGCCUUUCUCCAGUUCAAGUCAAGGAGAGUUGCAUGAGCUGUUCAGCCUCAUGACCACACUUACCUACACUGUAGGCUCCCAGAUUAAGAGCAGUUGACUGAGCCUUCAGAGCAAGAAUGGUUUCAAAAUAAAAUGCUCUACCCAACAGACGUCAGUGGCACUAACUUACCAUCUCACCUUGUAACAGAAGCAUACUUGCUUAAAGUUUGCUAGAAGAUGUGAUUUGUACCAGUCACAUCAGGAGAGUAACAGAAACUUGUAGUGACCUUUCAGUCUCAUGCAGCUUGAAUCAUUUAUUAUGAGUGGAUAAGCGUUCUCCUGGCCUUCUAGAUCAGGGAAAGGAAGAAAGGCAAAAGAAACCUUGGAGUCCUCCAGAAUAUCAGCACAGAAUCAUAGAAUGGUUGGGGUUGGGUUGGAAGAGACCGAAAAGAUCAUCUAGUUCCAACCCCCUGCCACAGGCCUCCCACUAGACCAGGUUGCCCAAAUCCCCAUCCAACCUGGCUUUGAACAUUUCCAGGGAUGGGGUAUCCCUAAUUUCUCUGGGCAACCUGUUUCAGUACCUCACCACCAACACAAUAAAGAAUUUCUUCCUUACAUCUAAUCUAAAUAUACCCGCUUUUAGUUUAAAAUCUUUAUCUCUCAUCCUAUCACUGCAUGCCCUUGUAGAAAGUCUAUCUCUAUCUUUCUUAUAAGCCUUCUUUAAGAAAAGAUGCAGUAAGGUUUCCCUGGAGCCUUCUCUUCUCCAGGCUGAACAACCCCACCUCUCUCAGGCUUUCUUCAUAGGAGAGGCUUUCCAACCCCCUGAUCAUUUUUGUGGCCCUCCUCUGGACUCCCUCUAGCAGGCCCUUGUGUUUCUUGUGAUGGGGGUCUGAGAGCUGGAUGUGGUGGUACUGCAGGUGGGUUCUCAUGAGGAAUAGAGAAAGAGAAAGCAUCUCCAUCUAGGCUCCCAUUCAAGUAUUUCUGCCCUUGGUUAUUGACACUAAACAAGCUCAUGGACGCGCAGAAUAGUAACACGUUAUCAGCAGCUAAUAAAAUUAAACUAGGCUAGACGGUAUUGCUAUACUGAACAAAAUAGAUUCCUCCCUCAAACAGCAAAGACACUAGCACACAAAAUAGCGGUGACACAGACCUUCAGCUAGGAACACAGAUUGGCAGGCCUUGGCAGGAGUGUGUAAAUUCUGUGGUUUGGUCCUAGAGGCUGUGGCUUCAGCCCCAGCUCCCAAUUCCCUACCACAAACCACCAGAGACUGUUCAGAGUAAAUACAAGGCCAGCUUCUAUUCAGCAAGGUCCUGUCAUAUUCAAAUAUUAUCAUGCUAAGGGGCUUCUAGCUUAAAUAUCCUUCCAUAGGCAUGGCAACUGAACACAAGCAAUAGGUAGGAAUGAACUGGCUGGAGCAUGAGCUGGCUGAGACCCAUUCAGCUUGACAGCCAGGGAAAAUGUCUCAGCUGCCUCUCAUCUUCGCAUGAAGCCUGUCUUAUUGGACAGCUAUUUGCGAACACAGCUCAGCUGCUUUCUCUGAAUCAGACAGAGAGGUGUGCAGAUGAUGAUAUUGCCCGGAUUCCAGGAGCACCCUGGGGACCGACACCACGCUCCGUUGGUACUUCCCAUGAACUUAGCUGAAGGUCUGCAUACCAGGAAGGACUGUCUGCUUGCAGUGGUACUAGCAGAGUGGCAGGUGCUUUUGAACCACGCCAUGCUCUGUGGUGGGAUUUCCAACGUCCAAACGUCAUUAACUCAGCCUCUUCUUUCUGAACACUGGGAAUAAGGCAAACCCGCAUGGGCACGAGCGGUCAAAGCUGCCCAGCAUGUUGACACCGGAGCUAGGCUGAUGAAAGUCACACGUGGGGCAGCCCCUGCUUUGCAUUUUGGUGCAGAUGUACACAGAGAAAGGAGCGGAGGCAGAGCUGAGACGGUGGGAAACUUGGCGAGAAGGAGGGCGUCUGUUACUUGAAAUCACUCUACAGCACAUUACAAAUCUGUUAAAUCACUGCGGGUUACCCUGUAUUUCAGAGUAAAUUGGUAACUUUUCAGAGGGAGUGAAGAAACUACCACUCCACUUUUAAAUAAUGAAAAUGCUAAAAAACCUACACUUAACAGCUCUAAAACUGCAGCAAGUCACCCACCAACACCCACUCCUCUUGUCAGCAGGCUUUUUUCAGCUUUGCCUAUUAUUUGCGUGAAGCCAGAGAUGUUUAAUGUUUGCUGCCCUUAUCUGCUCAACUUUAAGGAGCCUCAAACGUUACAAUAUGUACCUGGGCCGCUGACCUGUUUCCCCACAGCACUUUGAUCUAAAUAAGUAACAAACACAGAGUUUCCAAAUCAUUUGGAUUCACUGGCUCUGAGCGCAUAGCUGUAAAAAAUCUGCUUUAAGAUUAACAUCCAAUUUUAUUCAUGCCUGAGGCUUCACCACAGCAUCUAUUUUUGUAAGAUUAACAGCAAGAUCCCAGUUCUCCAGAAAUGUAAAGAGUAACAGCCAGUUGUAAAAGAAAUCUGAUAUUUCCUAAUUUGUCCUGCUCGCAUCCAGGAAGGCAUAUUUUCCCAGACCUUCCAAUGAUGGUUGUAAUUUCUACUUGCAUUUUUGCACCCACGACACGCAGCGUGUGUAUUAAUCCUUCUGCCUCCCAUUUGCUGAAAUGCAUUUCUGAUGAAACUGUGAGUGCCAAAAAACCACUAGCGCAAAUCUCACAUGUGCAAAGUAUCCCCUGAAAGACAGCUUUUACUCUGGAGGAGUUAAGAAACAGUCAUCUUCCUGUACCUUGCACAGAAGCAUUUUGGAUCAUCUAACUUGAAAAUGCAAGUACAUAAAAGGAGCACUUAAUAUUCCAGCUAAUCCAUUUUAAAUUAAUAUACUUGCAAACAUUUCUUUUUAACAUGGGAAUCUGAGGACAAAUUGGGGGCCAUUUUUAACUUUAACAGCAGAAGAAAAGUUGCUUUAAAUAGUGCCUUUGGUAUCUGUCAAUUAGAGCUAUUGCACUGCUGUCAACUUGCGCUCCUUUAGUUCCAGCUUUGCUCCAUCCUACACAGAUCCGUACAAAUCAGUUGUCUCUUCCAAACAUGCACUAACCACUGGAAAGUGAAAUUAAUAAAGUGUGAGAAAAGCUGACUCAUAAAGCUGACACUCCUGUGCCCAACAACUCUGGGUUUCUCCCCUCCAGCUAGCUGUUUGAGAUAGACAGGCAAAGUGGUAAAAGAUUAUCAAAUUGCAACUGUCACUCCUGACAAAAUGCAUCUGAAUGCUGGAAGGAAUUUCAGGUUUUAAGCUAAAGCACCAUCCCAAAGAGUUCCUCAGAGCCUGUCAAUAUCUGUACCUUGGAUGGAAAGCUACCACUGAGCACAGUGCGUCCAACAUAUAGAACCUGCCACGAAAUGAAGUUCUUCGUAAGAAAGCUCAUCUCAGUCUUGGUUGGUAACAAUAACAAGGAGA